This 121-nucleotide ribosomal RNA is filed under the name Pteropus alecto (black flying fox). The record is from RNAcentral. Lineage: Eukaryota; Metazoa; Chordata; Mammalia; Chiroptera; Pteropodidae.
GUCUAUGGCCAUGCCACCCUGAACAAGCCCGAUCCCAUCUGAUCUCGGAAGCUAAACAGGGUAGGGCCUGGUUAGUACUUGGAUAGGAGAGACUACCUAGGAAGACCAGGUGCUGUAGACG